This 492-nucleotide ribosomal RNA is filed under the name uncultured bacterium. RNAcentral describes it as "partial 16S ribosomal RNA". It matches the Rfam family "Bacterial small subunit ribosomal RNA", at positions 29 to 507 of the family's 1533-position model. The record is from RNAcentral.
AGUGAACGCUGGCGGUAGGCCUAACACAUGCAAGUCGAACGGCAGCACAGUAAGAGCUUGCUCUUACGGGUGGCGAGUGGCGGACGGGUGAGGAAUACAUCGGAAUCUACUUUUUCGUGGGGGAUAACGUAGGGAAACUUACGCUCAUACCGCAUACGCCCUACGGUUGAAAGCAGGGGAUCUUCGCACCUUGCGCGGUUGAAUGAGCCGAUGUCGUAUUAGCUAGUUGGCGGGGUAAAGGCCCACCAAGGCGACGAUCCGUAGCUGGUCUGAGUGGAUGAUCGGCCACACGGGAACGUGGCCAGGGUCCAGACGCCUGCGGGAGGCAGCAGUGUGGAAUGUUGGACAACGGGCGGAAGCCUGAUCCAGCCAGACCGCGUGGGUGAAGAAGGCCUUGGGGUUGUAAAGCCCUUUUGUUGGGAAAGAAAAGCAGCAGGUUAAGACCCCGCUGUUCUGACGGUACUCAAAGAAUAAGCACCGGCUAACUUCGUG